This 482-nucleotide ribosomal RNA is filed under the name uncultured bacterium. Its description in RNAcentral is "partial 16S ribosomal RNA". It matches the Rfam family "Bacterial small subunit ribosomal RNA", at positions 30 to 507 of the family's 1533-position model. The record is from RNAcentral.
AUUGAACGCUGGCGGCAGGCCUAACACACGCAAGUCGAGCGGAUGAAGGGAGCUUGCUCCUGGAUUCAGCGGCGGACGGGUGAGUAAUGCCUAGGAAUCUGCCUGGUAGUGGGGGAUAACGUCCGGAAACGGGCGCUAAUACCGCAUACGUCCUGAGGGAGAAAGUGGGGGAUCUUCGGACCUCACGCUAUCAGAUGAGCCUAGGUCGGAUUAGCUAGUUGGUGGGGUAAAGGCCUACCAAGGCGACGAUCCGUAACUGGUCUGAGAGGAUGAUCAGUCACACUGGAACUGAGACACGGUCCAGACUCCUACGGGAGGCAGCAGUGGGGAAUAUUGGACAAUGGGCGAAAGCCUGAUCCAGCCAUGCCGCGUGUGAAGAAGGUCUUCGGAUUGUAAAGCACUUUAAGUUGGGAGGAAGGGCAGUAAGUUAAUACCUUGCUGUUUUGACGUUACCAACAGAAUAAGCACCGGCUAACUUCGUG